RNAcentral lists this ribosomal RNA (442 nucleotides) under uncultured bacterium. RNAcentral describes it as "partial 16S ribosomal RNA". It matches the Rfam family "Bacterial small subunit ribosomal RNA", at positions 338 to 795 of the family's 1533-position model. The record is from RNAcentral.
CCUACGGGAGGCAGCAGUGGGGGAUAUUGCACAAUGGGGGAAACCCUGAUGCAGCGACGCCGCGUGGGCGAAGAAGUAUUUCGGUAUGUAAAGCCCUAUCAGCAGGGAAGAAGAAAUGACGGUACCCUAGUAAGAAGCACCGGCUAAAUACGUGCCAGCAGCCGCAGUAAUACGUAGGGUGCAAGCGUUAUCCGGAUUUACUGGGUGUAAAGGGAGCGCAGGCGGGACGGCAAGUCUGAUGGGAAAGCCCGCGGCCCAACCGUGGGACUGCAUUGGAAACUGCCGGGCUGGAGUGCCGGAGAGGUAGGCGGAAUGCCUAGUGUAGCGGUGAAAUGCGUAGAUAUUAGGAGGAACACCAGUGGCGAAGGCGGCCUACUGGACGGUGACUGACGCUGAGGCUCGAAAGCGUGGGGAGCAAACAGGAUUAGAUACCCUAGUAGUC